RNAcentral lists this ribosomal RNA (2930 nucleotides) under Staphylococcus saprophyticus. RNAcentral describes it as "bacterial LSU rRNA". It matches the Rfam family "Bacterial large subunit ribosomal RNA". The record is from RNAcentral. Lineage: Bacteria; Bacillati; Bacillota; Bacilli; Caryophanales; Staphylococcaceae.
AGAUUAAGUUAUUAAGGGCGCACGGUGGAUGCCUUGGCACUAGAAGCCGACGAAGGACGUUACUAACGACGAUAUGCUUUGGGGAGCUGUAAGUAAGCUUUGAUCCAGAGAUUUCCGAAUGGGGAAACCCAGCACGAGUUAUGUCGUGUUAUCGAUAUGUGAAUACAUAGCAUAUCUGAAGGCAGACGCGGAGAACUGAAACAUCUUAGUACCCGCAGGAAGAGAAAGAAAAAUCGAUUCCCUGAGUAGCGGCGAGCGAAACGGGAAGAGCCCAAACCAAUGAGCUUGCUUGUUGGGGUUGUAGGACACUCUAUACGGAGUUACAAAAGAACAGACUAGACGAAUCAUCUGGAAAGAUGAAUCAAAGAAGGUAAUAAUCCUGUAGUCGAAAGUUUGUUCACUCUUGAGUGGAUCCUGAGUACGACGGAACACGAGAAAUUCCGUCGGAAUCUGGGAGGACCAUCUCCCAAGGCUAAAUACUCUCUAGUGACCGAUAGUGAACCAGUACCGUGAGGGAAAGGUGAAAAGUACCCCGGAAGGGGAGUGAAAUAGAACUUGAAACCGUGUGCUUACAAGUAGUCAGAGCCCGUUAAUGGGUGAUGGCGUGCCUUUUGUAGAAUGAACCGGCGAGUUACGAUUUGAUGCAAGGUUAAGCAGUGAAUGUGGAGCCGUAGCGAAAGCGAGUCUGAAUAGGGCGUUGAGUAUUUGGUCGUAGACCCGAAACCAGGUGAUCUACCCAUGACCAGGUUGAAGUUCAGGUAACACUGAAUGGAGGACCGAACCGACUUACGUUGAAAAGUGAGCGGAUGAGUUGUGGGUAGCGGAGAAAUUCCAAUCGAACCUGGAGAUAGCUGGUUCUCUCCGAAAUAGCUUUAGGGCUAGCCUCAAGUGAUGAUUAUUGGAGGUAGAGCACUGUUUGGACGAGGGGCCCUUAUCGGGUUACCGAAUUCAGACAAACUCCGAAUGCCAAUCAAUUUAACUUGGGAGUCAGAACGCGGGUGAUAAGGUCCGUGUUCGAAAGGGAAACAGCCCAGACCACCAGCUAAGGUCCCAAAAUAUAUGUUAAGUGGAAAAGGAUGUGGCGUUGCCCAGACAACUAGGAUGUUGGCUUAGAAGCAGCCAUCAUUUAAAGAGUGCGUAAUAGCUCACUAGUCGAGUGACACUGCGCCGAAAAUGUACCGGGGCUAAACAUAUUACCGAAGCUGUGGAUUGUCCGUAAGGACAAUGGUAGGAGAGCGUUCUAAGGGCGUUGAAGCAUGAUCGCAAGGACAUGUGGAGCGCUUAGAAGUGAGAAUGCCGGUGUGAGUAGCGAAAGACGGGUGAGAAUCCCGUCCACCGAUUGACUAAGGUUUCCAGAGGAAGGCUCGUCCGCUCUGGGUUAGUCGGGUCCUAAGCUGAGGCCGAUAGGCGUAGGCGAUGGAUAACAGGUUGAUAUUCCUGUACCACCAUUAUUCGUUUUAAGCGAUGGGGGGACGCAGUAGGAUAGGCGAAGCGUACGAUUGGAUUGUACGUCCAAGCAGUGAGAUUGAGUGUUAGGCAAAUCCGGCACUCUUAAGAUUGAGCUGUGAUGGGGAGAGGAAAUUGUUUCCUCGAGUCGUUGAUUUCACACUGCCGAGAAAAGCCUCUAGCUAGAAUUGUGGUGCCCGUACCGCAAACCGACACAGGUAGUCAAGAUGAGAAUUCUAAGGUGAGCGAGCGAACUCUCGUUAAGGAACUCGGCAAAAUGACCCCGUAACUUCGGGAGAAGGGGUGCUCUUUAGGGUUAACGCCCAGGAGAGCCGCAGUGAAUAGGCCCAAGCGACUGUUUAUCAAAAACACAGGUCUCUGCUAAACCGUAAGGUGAUGUAUAGGGGCUGACGCCUGCCCGGUGCUGGAAGGUUAAGAGGAGUGGUUAGCUUCUGCGAAGCUACGAAUCGAAGCCCCAGUAAACGGCGGCCGUAACUAUAACGGUCCUAAGGUAGCGAAAUUCCUUGUCGGGUAAGUUCCGACCCGCACGAAAGGCGUAACGAUUUGGGCACUGUCUCAACGAGAGACUCGGUGAAAUCAUAGUACCUGUGAAGAUGCAGGUUACCCGCGACAGGACGGAAAGACCCCGUGGAGCUUUACUGUAGUCUGAUAUUGAAAUUCGGCACAGCUUGUACAGGAUAGGUAGGAGCCUGAGAUACGUGAGCGCUAGCUUACGUGGAGGCGUUGGUGGGAUACUACCCUCGCUGUGUUGGAUUUCUAACCCGCACCAUUUAUCAUGGUGGGAGACAGUGUCAGAUGGGCAGUUUGACUGGGGCGGUCGCCUCCUAAAGAGUAACGGAGGCGCUCAAAGGUUUCCUCAGAAUGGUUGGAAAUCAUUCAUAGAGUGUAAAGGCAUAAGGAAGCUUGACUGCGAGACUUACAAGUCGAGCAGGGUCGAAAGACGGACUUAGUGAUCCGGUGGUUCCGCAUGGAAGGGCCAUCGCUCAACGGAUAAAAGCUACCCCGGGGAUAACAGGCUUAUCUCCCCCAAGAGUUCACAUCGACGGGGAGGUUUGGCACCUCGAUGUCGGCUCAUCGCAUCCUGGGGCUGUAGUCGGUCCCAAGGGUUGGGCUGUUCGCCCAUUAAAGCGGUACGCGAGCUGGGUUCAGAACGUCGUGAGACAGUUCGGUCCCUAUCCGUCGUGGGCGUAGGAAAUUUGAGAGGAGCUGUCCUUAGUACGAGAGGACCGGGAUGGACAUACCUCUGGUGUACCAGUUGUCGUGCCAACGGCAUCGCUGGGUAGCUAUGUAUGGACGGGAUAAGUGCUGAAAGCAUCUAAGCAUGAAGCCCCCCUCAAGAUGAGAUUUCCCAACUUCGGUUAUAAGAUCCCUCAAAGAUGAUGAGGUUAAUAGGUUCGAGGUGGAAGCAUAGCGAUAUGUGCAGCUGACGAAUACUAAUCGAUCGAAGACUUAAUCAAAUUUUA